GGUGGACAUCACCGCGUCCCCCACGCCCACGCGCGCCCGCCUUCCUGCCCCAGGCCAGCCUCGCGGUGUCGGCCUUCCGCUCCCUCUGGCGGAGGCGGGGGGCCAGGCAGCGUUCGGAGCGAGACCGGAGACCCGGAACUUCAAGCUAAGCCACAGAGAUAGAGAUUUAAGUAAAGGACCCCCAAUCACCGGGCUGAUUUAACCACAAGUAUGCUUUCAAGGCAUGGAAUACCUCUCUCAAGCUACUGUGACCAUCCUAUCACCAAGUCUGUCCCCACACUGUCCACAAAUGCUUGGACCAGAAUAAUUCCAAGUGACCAAAGAGAACUGGCUACCACCAGCUGCAAAGACAGUGCUCCACUGUGACGGAACUACUAGACUGUUGGGAGAUUUGCCCUGAUACUUGGGACACCCGCGGAAGCCCACGAGUCCUCCUUGUGGCGGAGAAGGAGUGUGAAACAGGUGCUAUCAGAUGGUAAUGCUGAAUCAUGCACAGUGCUAACUUAGGUUUUCUAAUGUUUUAAAAUGUAACCUUUAUUAGUCAAUCGGCCCCAAAUCUUAGGACACAAAGAGUCAGUUAUUGAGGCCUGCACCAAGUGUUUUAUUGGCAUUUGCACUUAAUUUUCCUCAGACCUAUCUGAGCGAAAUGUUACCAUGAUGCCCUGUGAUGGUUAACUUUACGUGUCAACUUGGCUAGGCUGUGGUACCCAUGGUUCCAAGUUUGGGGCCAAACACCAACCGAGAUGUGGUUCUGAAGGCAUGUUUCAGAUGAGACUAACAUUUAAAUCAGUAGACUUUGAGUGAAGCAGAGUGCCUUCUAUAAUGUGGUUGAGUUCAUCCAGUUCAUCCAGUCCGUUGAAGGCCUUGAGAAGAAAGAUUGAAUUCCCCUGACGAAGAGGGAGUUCAGCUUCCUGAACACUUUGGACCCGAAAGGGCACCAGCUCUUCCCUGGGGCUCUAACUGCAGAUUUUACUUGUCAGCCCUCACAAUCCUGUGUACCAGUCCCUUAAAAUACAUCGUUGUCUCUCUCAUGUGUGUGUGUGUGUGCGUGUGGGGAGCGGGGGGCUGUGUAUUUUAACCCUGGAGAACCCUGACUAAUGCAUCUCUCUUUUACAAAUGACGAAACAGGUCCCAGAGAUAGAUAUUAAUUAGCUGUAGGACACGCAGCUAGUUAGUGGCAGGGUAGAGUGUGGGCUGCUGGUCCUUGAAGGGCCACCCUCCUCCUAGUCGCACAGAGAGCCGGCAUUCCUCCCCGCCUGUGGCCCGCAGCCACAUGAGGGGCACAUGAGGAGUUGCUUGUGUUUAAUCCUGUCAUCGGUUUAUUGGAAAGCUUUUCGCUGCAGCCUGCAUGAGGGAAAACGAUUUGCUUGGGAUGAAUGUGGCCACCAAUGUGCUAUUUCCCUUAAUCUAAACAGGGCCUCAGGCACACUUCAUUGAUCAUGCCUCUAAGCUGAGAGGUCGCCUUCAGGCUGGCCAGCAAAUAUUAUGUUUCUCAGGCAGCCCUAUGCUGUCAACCACAUUUCCUGAUCUACUCUGAUUAGAUAUAUAAACAGCUUCAGUAAAACAGAGCCCGAGCUUUGCUGUUAAAAAUGUAAGAUAAGGCUUCCAUAAAGAUUCAUCAACAGCAGAGACGCUGUCUAAGUUGGGUCUGAGCCCUCAGAGCUCACGGCUUCUUUUUUCGGUGUUGUAAGGAAGGUCAGUGGGCAAAUGCCUAUGAUUUAUCAUCAUGUUUUAAUAGUGCUUGUGCUUUGGUUAAGGGACACCUUGGGGAGAAGAAAGGGUUAAAAUAUUUGAGCAGGGUCACAAAGUGGUCUUGCAUUAAGAACCCAGCACGGAACUGACAUUACUAAAAGUUACUUAGUCAUUUUGUACCUGCUAAGAGGUAUCGCCCAGUCCCAGCUAAGAACCGGGAAGAAGCGGGCUGAUACCUGCAUGUUGCAGAAAGUUUAUGAAGACCAAACACUCCCUUGAAACUCAGCUGGGGAAAUGAAACAACUAAAACCAAACAUCUUCUACCUUCAACCAUCAUGACUGUUUCCGAUACAUUUUGUAAGAUACUCAAGUACAACGCAGGAGAAGUUUAUGAAAUUUGAUUAUAGAGACGUGUGUUUAAUCCGUGCAUAUUGCAAUAUCCUCUUCCACUGUUUGUCCCCAGGAUAGAUGAGAUGAUCUAAAGGAUUUGUCCACCUCCAGUUUCUUGGAAUGAGAACAUAUGCCUUUUCCAGAUGAUUUUCAGUAUUUAUUUUUCAGAAAGAAAGGGAUCGAUACCAGUUUUAAAGAAGACAAAGCAAGGUACUCAAAUACUAAAGCUAAAAUGAUACUGGCUGCAUGGAAGGGUACAUUUGAGGCACUUUGGCCAUCUCUCUGAAACGACUAGAAAAAAUGAGGAUAGAUGCAGUGCUGACUAAUCUGCCUAUUUUCAGAUGUGAUGCUGAGUUACAGAAAUGCAAAAGGGAGAGAAGGAGAAUCCCAAGUAGGCUUUGAGCUGUCAGCAUAGAGACCGAUGUGGGGCUCGAUCUUGGGAACCAUGAGAUCAUGACCUGAGCCAAAAUCAAGAGUCGGAUGCUUAAUCAACUGAGCCACCCGGCAGACCAGCUUGGCUCCACAAUGUCAAAGAGCAGAUGUGUCUUCCUGGGAGCCUGAGAAGAGCUGGAGCUGGAGCUGGAAGGAAGCAGAGCCGGGCUGACCACAUCAGGUCCCCUGCUUCAAGGGCCCCUGCCUCCCGCAAGGUGCACCGCUGUGGCCCUCUGUAUUCAGAGUAAAGGGGACCACGCAUACCAUCUCUCCUGAACAUCUAGUCUUGUGCUGUGAUGUCCAUGUCCUGACAAAUCGUGGUUCCUGCCUACUGAGUUUCCUGAUACAGCAGUGUUAUGCUUUUCUGAAGAUGGGGAUUUUCAUCCAAACCCUCUUUUAGGACUGCCUUCACACCUUCACACCUGAAUGUAUUCUUCGUUCUUCUGGAAUGUUUAUAGGGCUGCUCUGGCUCUCGCCACUUGCGACUGGAUUUUGGUGCGACUUCUAGAAUCUGAGCAUGGACCAGCAGCUACAGAAUUCAGGGACUGAGCAGAGAGGAGAAAUAAGGAGAGAGUCUGGGAGUGAAAGUGUGUGCAACAGGCUGUCUGCUCACAGUGAUGUGAGUGCAACACACACACACACACACACCCCACACACACACACACACUCCAGAGUCAGCUUGAGUAGAAGUUCUAGUAGGGAAGGAUGGGGUGAUGGACCAUGCAGGACCACACCUGCAAUUAGAGUAAUUACCUCUCCUGUCUUGGCCUGGCAUGGGCUCGCUUUACAUUCAAAUGUUCUGAGCUGAGUGUGAACAAAAGCCCUUCACUCAACAACUGGCUCAGACUUGAAAUAGGAACAAAAUGUUCAAAAAUAAACGAUAGUAAAUUCAUGGGUGAAAAGAGAAACGGAGUAUCAUAAAACUAGGUAAUUUGGCUUGCGAAAUAAGUGUUUGCUCUCUGGGAGCUUUCCCCUGCUAUCCACUUUCCUUUGGACCUCCAGAAAGGAAAGGAAGGCCUUGCUUGGCGUAUGUCAUUAGUUUCCAUCGUGCUGCCUUUGAAACUAGUUUUCUAUUUAACGUCUAGCCUCUUGCAAACUUUUGUGGAUACUUGUGCCAUUUUAAAUACCAGAUUGAGCAAAUUUCUCCCUUCUGUUUAGCCAAGACUCAUCAUCCCAGAGAAUGUUUCUAUUCUAAGACUCAGACCUCCCCCCUCUCAAAAAAGACUCGUGUCUUCCCCAUCAGAUGAGGUAUCUGACAUCAGAAAGAGCUCCCUUUUUCAGAGCCUGCCCUCUCUUAACAGGUGGUGUAAUUUUGAAUUUUCCCUUAUAAUCUGUGGUAGAGAUUGCUGGUUAACCGGCAACAUCUAUUGGCCCAUUCUUCCAAAUAGUAGCAAAUUCCACAAUUCAUCUAGAUGAAUGGAAUAAGAACUAAAUUUUUCAAACUUUCUUAAGGUAGAGCGUAGUCGUCUUACUAAGUUCAAGUAAUGGCAUAUAAGCAGGG
Long non-coding RNA from Acinonyx jubatus (cheetah), 4015 nucleotides. RefSeq lists it as uncharacterized. The transcript is spliced from 11 exons. The record is from RefSeq and is a predicted model, not a curated record. NCBI's taxonomy places the organism in Eukaryota, Metazoa, Chordata, Mammalia, Carnivora, Felidae.